CAUUGGGACUGAGAUACGGCCCAGACUCCUACGGGAGGCAGCAGUGGGGAAUAUUGCACAAUGGGCGCAAGCCUGAUGCAGCGACGCCGCGUGAGGGAUGGAGGCCUUCGGGUUGUAAACCUCUUUUAUCGGGGAGCAAGCGAGAGUGAGUUUACCCGUUGAAUAAGCACCGGCUAACUACGUGCCAGCAGCCGCGGUAAUACGUAGGGUGCAAGCGUUAUCCGGAAUUAUUGGGCGUAAAGGGCUCGUAGGCGGUUCGUCGCGUCCGGUGUGAAAGUCCAUCGCUUAACGGUGGAUCCGCGCCGGGUACGGGCGGGCUUGAGUGCGGUAGGGGAGACUGGAAUUCCCGGUGUAACGGUGGAAUGUGUAGAUAUCGGGAAGAACACCAAUGGCGAAGGCAGGUCUCUGGGCCGUUACUGACGCUGAGGAGCGAAAGCGUGGGGAGCGAACAGGAUUAGAUACCCUGGUAGUCCACGCCGUAAACGGUGGAUGCUGGAUGUGGGGCCCGUUCCACGGGUUCCGUGUCGGAGCUAACGCGUUAAGCAUCCCGCCUGGGGAGUACGGCCGCAAGGCUAAAACUCAAAGAAAUUGACGGGGGCCCGCACAAGCGGCGGAGCAUGCGGAUUAAUUCGAUGCAACGCGAAGAACCUUACCUGGGCUUGACAUGUUCCCGACGGUCGUAGAGAUACGGCUUCCCUUCGGGGCGGGUUCACAGGUGGUGCAUGGUCGUCGUCAGCUCGUGUCGUGAGAUGUUGGGUUAAGUCCCGCAACGAGCGCAACCCUC
Molecule: ribosomal RNA, 784 nt
Filed under: Klebsiella pneumoniae
Lineage: Bacteria; Pseudomonadati; Pseudomonadota; Gammaproteobacteria; Enterobacterales; Enterobacteriaceae
Description: bacterial SSU rRNA
Rfam family: Bacterial small subunit ribosomal RNA
Source: RNAcentral